Molecule: ribosomal RNA, 1482 nt
Filed under: uncultured bacterium
Lineage: Bacteria
Description: bacterial SSU rRNA
Rfam family: Bacterial small subunit ribosomal RNA
Source: RNAcentral
AGUGAACGCUAGCGGCAGGCUUAACACAUGCAAGUCGAGGGGUAUAGUUUUUCGGAACUAGAGACCGGCGCACGGGUGCGUAACGCGUAUGCAACGGUCUACCUUUUACAGGGGGAUAGCCCAGAGAAAUUUGGAUUAAUACCCCAUAGUAUAAUGAGUUGGCAUCAACACAUUAUUAAAGUCACAACACGGGUAAAAGAUGAGCAUGCGUCCCAUUAGCUUGUUGGUAAGGUAACGGCUUACCAAGGCAACGAUGGGUAGGGGUCCUGAGAGGGAGAUCCCGAUCCACACUGGUACUGAGACACGGACCAGACUCCUACGGGAGGCAGCAGUGAGGAAUAUUGGUCAAUGGGCGCAAGCCUGAACCAGCCAUGCCGGUGCGUGCAGGAUGACGGUCCUAUGGAUUGUAAACUGCUUUUGUACGAGAAGAAACAUCCCGACGUGUCGGGACUUGACGGUAUCGUAAGAAUUCUAAGGAUCGGCUAACUCCGUGCCAGCAGCCGCGGUAAUACGGAGGAUCCGAGCGUUAUCCGGAAUCAUUGGGUUUAAAGGGUCCGUAGGCGGCCCUUUUGUAAGUCAGUGGUGAAAGCCCAUCGCUCAACGGUGGAACGGCCAUUGAUACUGCAAGACUUGAAUUACUAGGAAGUAACUAGAAUAUACAGUAGUGUAGCGGUGAAAUGCUUAGAGAUUACAUGGAAUACCAAUUGCGAAGGCAGGUUACUACUAGUGGAUUGACGCUGAUGGACGAAAGCGUAGUGGGUAGCGAACAGGAUUAGAUACCCUGGUAGUCCACGCCGUAAACGAUGGAUACUAGCUGUUGGGGGCAACUUCAGUGGCUAAGCGAAAGUCGUGAUAAGUAUCCCACCUGGGGAGUACGGGCGCAAGCCUGAAACUCAAAGGAAUUGACGGGGGCCCGCACAAGCGGUGGAGCAUGUGGUUUUUCAAUUCGAUGAUACGCGAGGAACCUUACCUGGGCUAGAAUGUGAAGGAAUGAUUUAGAGAUAGAUCAGUCAGCAAUGACCUGAAACAAGGUGCGUCUGCAUGGCUGUCGUCAGCUCGUGCCGUGAGGUGUUGGGUUAAGUCCCGCAACGAGCGCAACCCCUAUGUUUAGUUGCCAGCAUGUAAUGGUGAUGGGGACUCUAGACAGACUGCCUGCGCAAGCAGAGAGGAAGGAGGGGACGACGUCAAGUCAUCAUGGCCCUUACGCCCAGGGCGACACACGUCGUGCUACAAUGGCGCAUACAGCGGGUCGCUACCUAGCAAUAGGAUGCCAACCUCUAAAGUGCGUCUCAGUUCGGAUUGGGGUCUGCAACUCGAACACCCCAUGAAGCUGGAAUCGCUAGUAAUCGCGCAUCAGCCAUGGCGCGGUGAAUACGUUCCCGGACCUUGUACACACCGCCCGUCAAGCCAGGUUGGAAGUCGGGUAGACCUGAAGGCGGUAACCGAGAGGAGCCGUUUAGGGUAGAACCGGUAACUGGGGCU